GCUGGGCACAGUGGCACAUGCCUGUAAUCCCAGCGGCUUGGGAGGCUGAGGCAGGAGGAUUGCAAGUUCAAAGCCAGCCUCAGCAAUAGCGAGGUAUAAGCAACUCAGUGAGACCCUGUCUCUA
This 124-nucleotide small RNA is filed under the name Marmota monax (woodchuck). The record is from RNAcentral. Lineage: Eukaryota; Metazoa; Chordata; Mammalia; Rodentia; Sciuridae.